UACGGAGGGUGCAAGCGUUAUCCGGAUUCACUGGGUUUAAAGGGAGCGUAGAUGGCUUUGUAAGUCAGUGGUGAAAUAUUGCGGCUCAACCGCAAAACUGCCAUUGAUACUGCUUAGCUUGAAUCACGUCGAGGUGGAUGGAAUAAUACAUGUAGCGGUGAAAUGCUUAGAUAUGUAUUAGAACACCGAUUGCGAAGGCAGUUCACUAGGCGUGUAUUGACACUGAGGCUCGAAAGCGUGGGGAUCAAACAGG
RNAcentral lists this ribosomal RNA (253 nucleotides) under uncultured bacterium. RNAcentral describes it as "partial 16S ribosomal RNA". It matches the Rfam family "Bacterial small subunit ribosomal RNA", at positions 524 to 776 of the family's 1533-position model. The record is from RNAcentral.